RNAcentral lists this ribosomal RNA (253 nucleotides) under uncultured bacterium. RNAcentral's name for it is "partial 16S ribosomal RNA". It matches the Rfam family "Bacterial small subunit ribosomal RNA", at positions 524 to 776 of the family's 1533-position model. The record is from RNAcentral.
UACAGAGGGUGCGAGCGUUAAUCGGAAUUACUGGGCGUAAAGCGCACGUAGGUGGCGACGUAAGUCGGGUGUGAAAGCCCCGGGCUCAACCUGGGAAUUGCAUUCGAGACUGCAUUGCUGGAGUACGGAAGAGGAGGGCGGAAUUCCCGGUGUAGCGGUGAAAUGCGUAGAGAUCGGGAAGAACAUCGGUGGCGAAAGCGCUCUACUGGACCGCAACUGACACUGAGGGACGAAAGCUAGGGGAGCGAAUGGG